Molecule: ribosomal RNA, 694 nt
Filed under: uncultured bacterium
Lineage: Bacteria
Description: bacterial SSU rRNA
Rfam family: Bacterial small subunit ribosomal RNA
Source: RNAcentral
AUCGGUAUCGGAAGCUUUCUAGGCUAGAGGUCGGCAGAGGCAGAUGGAAUUUCAUGAUGUAGCCAGUCGAAUGCGUAGAUAUCCAUGAAGAACACCAAAUGGCGAAGGGCAGUCUGCUGGGCAACACCUGACACUGAGGAAACGAAAGCGUGGGGUAGCGAACGGGAUUAGAUACCCCGGUAGUGCACGCCGUAAACGAUGCACACUAGGCAUUUGGAGUAUCGACCCUUUCGAGUGCCGAAGCUAACGCGUUAAGUGUGCCGCCUGGGUAGUACGGCCGCAAGGCUAAAACUCAAAGGAAUUGACGGGGACCCGCACAAGCGGUGGAACAUGAGGUUUAAUUCGAUACUAAGCGAAGAACCUUACCAGGACUUGACAUCUCUGGAACCCUCUAGAAAUAGGGGGGGUGCCUUCGGGAGCCAGAUGACAGGUGUUGCACGGUCGUCGUCAGCUCGUGCUAUGAAGUGUCCCGUUAAGUCGGUUAACGAGCGCAACCCCUGCUGUUUGUUGAAUUUUUCAAACAGGACUGCCGGCGUUAAGUCGGAGGAAGGUGGGGAUGACGUCAGAUCAGCGUGGCUCUUACGUCCUGGGCGACACUCGUGUUACAAUGGGUAGUCACAAAGGGUUGCAAUACCGUAAGGUGGAGCUAAUCCCAUAAAACUACCCCCAGUUCGGAUUGAGGGCUGCAACUCGC